GAUGAACGCUGACAGAAUGCUUAACACAUGCAAGUCUUUGGCGAAGCUGUGCUCGCACAGCCUAGCCAAGGCGGACGGGUGAGUAACGCGUAAGGAACUUGCCCUGCAGUCAGGGAUAACAGACGGAAACGACUGAUAAGACCUGGUAAAGUCAGGCGGACUCAUGUCCAGCCUGAUGAAAAGAGAUGCUGCAGGAGAGCCUUGCGUCCUAUUAGCUUGUUGGUGGGGUAACGGCCCACCAAGGCGAUGAUAGGUAGCCGGCCUGAGAGGGUGGACGGCCACAAGGGGACUGAGGUACGGCCCUUACUCCUACGGGAGGCAGCAGUGGGGAAUAGUGGACAAUGGGGGCAACCCUGAUCCAGCAAUUCUGUGUGCACGAUGAAGGUUUUCGGAUUGUAAAGUGCUUUCAGCAGGGAAGAAAAAAAUGACGGUACCUGCAGAAGAAGCGACGGCUAAAUACGUG
This 463-nucleotide ribosomal RNA is filed under the name uncultured bacterium. RNAcentral describes it as "partial 16S ribosomal RNA". It matches the Rfam family "Bacterial small subunit ribosomal RNA", at positions 28 to 507 of the family's 1533-position model. The record is from RNAcentral.